RNAcentral lists this long non-coding RNA (402 nucleotides) under Vigna radiata. RNAcentral's name for it is "long non-coding RNA (VRAD_LNC007275)". The record is from RNAcentral. Lineage: Eukaryota; Viridiplantae; Streptophyta; Magnoliopsida; Fabales; Fabaceae.
GAUUGCUCUUUGUACUUUGACCAUGAACAUCAAAAAAAGACUCAUUUGAUACAUUUUUUAUAACUUAGGAAUCAAAGGUUUACAUUUUUAAAAGCGGGGACUAAACUGAACAUCCACUCAUAACUUAGGGACCAAAAAGAGGUUUAAACCAAAUCUUUAUGUGUUACCAUCCACAUACAAACCUAUAUAAAACUCAAUCUCAUAACAAUCCUAGAAUGAAAUCCAAAUACAUAUACAAGGAACAAAAUAAUCAAUGUACUUCCAACUAUUUACACAUCAAAUAAUAGUUCCUAAACUUAAUGUAUGAUGAAUACAUAUUUACCUAACAUUAUCUAUAAAAACUUAAAAGAAAUGCAGUUUACUACUCCCGAACAUCCAUUAAGACCUCUUGCUCCAUUAAAG